RNAcentral lists this ribosomal RNA (511 nucleotides) under uncultured bacterium. RNAcentral's name for it is "partial 16S ribosomal RNA". It matches the Rfam family "Bacterial small subunit ribosomal RNA", at positions 28 to 523 of the family's 1533-position model. The record is from RNAcentral.
GACGAACGCUGGCGGCGUGCUUAACACAUGCAAGUCGAGCGAGAAAGGGGCUUCGGCCCUGAGUAAAGCGGCGGACGGGUGCGUAACACGUGGAUAAUCUGCCCUUUGGCGGGGAAUAACAGUCCGAAAGGAUUGCUAAUGCCGCAUGUCGCAAUUUGGUCUCCGGGCCGAAUUGCAAAAGGGGCCCGCAAGGGUCUCACCAGAGGAUGAGUUCGCGGCCCAUCAGCUUGUUGGCGGUGUAAAAGACCACCAAGGCUAAGACGGGUAGCUGGUCUGAGAGGAUGACCAGCCACACUGGGACUGAGACACGGCCCAGACUCCUACGGGAGGCAGCAGUGGGGAAUAUUGGGCAAUGGGCGCAAGCCUGACCCAGCCAUGCCGCGUGAGUGAUGAAGGUCUUCGGAUCGUAAAGCUCUGUGGGAAGGGACGAAAAAACGGGGGUUAAUACCCCCCGGCUUGACGGUACCUUCUUAGCAAGCACCGGCUAACUCCGUGCCAGCAGCCGCAGUAA